CCCGAUUAUUCAGGUUUUAAAAAGAGUAUUUUUAAUAGUGCAUCCUCUUCAAAGGAGGAAGAAAGAAUUCCUCUCCUUGUAUCUCCAAAGGGCUGGAGGGCCAAUAGACAUGGGGAAAAUGAAGUUGUGAAGCUCCCAACUCUCCGAAGUCAAGGAUCUCUGGCUGUCUUCCUUGAGAAAUGCUGAAGUCACCUGAGGUAGGAACAUCAUUUAGGAAUAAGAAGUCCUGCUGAGUUGGUGAUAUCUUCGUUGUGUUACUCUUUAAUUACAUCGUAUGUGUACAUACCUGUGUAAGUUUGGGCCAGUACAUCAGAGAUAAUUUUAACAUUCUGUUAGUGAUUAUGUAGUUUUAAGAGAUGAAGAAAGGCAAACAAAUGUCAUUUGCUUAUGCAUAGCAAGUGCUGUGUUAGGAAAGCCAAACAAUAUUGGGUACUGUUGACAGUAAUAAUGUUUUACCUCCCAUUGUUACAAAAAUUUGCCUCAUUAAACAAGCUCAAGCAAAUGAGCCCAUAAGAAGAAGCCCUGUUUCUAACCAGCACAUGUUCAACAGUAAAUAAACCAAUGCAACUUGAGUUUGUGAUUUCAGUGCAGCAACAAUGGGAGGGAUGGACCAGAUGUGACUUGGGCCUCUACUUCAGAUGGGAUAUUUAAACAAAACAAGAGCACAUAAACAUAUUGAGUCCUUGGUUUAGGAGAUUAUGCAUCCUGCUUGCUCAGAAGACUUGAUUUUGAAAAAUAAUGGAAAUUGGAGAUAGGUAACAAUUUAGCUGUGGUCCAGAAGAUGUUAGCAUCUUUCUGGGUACUAUAUCAAUCAAAAAGGGC
RNAcentral lists this long non-coding RNA (822 nucleotides) under Heterocephalus glaber (naked mole-rat). RNAcentral's name for it is "lncRNA (ENSHGLG00000038598.1)". Lineage: Eukaryota; Metazoa; Chordata; Mammalia; Rodentia; Bathyergidae. The record is from RNAcentral.